AUGAACUAUAUAUACUCAAACAACAAAAAACUAAUUUAUAAUUUUGUAUGUCCAUUCCCAUGUGGAUGUCAAAAGUUAGUUCACAUACAACUUUAUUUACCAAACAGCAUCAUUAAGUUUGAACAGGUAAAAGCUUCAAGCAUAUACAUGCAAAAGCAAGCAACCAAUGACAGUGAAAUAUAUAAAUCCAACUUACAUAACAGCCGUCAGAUUAGCUUCAACAGUGUAAAAUAG
Molecule: non-coding RNA, 234 nt
Organism: Vicia faba (fava bean)
Lineage: Eukaryota; Viridiplantae; Streptophyta; Magnoliopsida; Fabales; Fabaceae
Source: the annotation of a GenBank genome assembly